Molecule: ribosomal RNA, 955 nt
Filed under: uncultured prokaryote
Description: bacterial SSU rRNA
Rfam family: Bacterial small subunit ribosomal RNA
Source: RNAcentral
AGAAGCACCGGCUAACUCCGUGCCAGCAGCCGCGGUAAUACGGAGGGUGCAAGCGUUAAUCGGAAUUACUGGGCGUAAAGCGUGCGUAGGCGGUUUAUUAAGUCAGAUGUGAAAGCCCCGGGCUUAACCUGGGAACUGCAUUUGAAACUGGUCAACUAGAGUAUGGUAGAGGAAAGUGGAAUUUCUGGUGUAGCGGUGAAAUGCGUAGAUAUCAGAAGGAACAUCAAUGGCGAAGGCAGCUUUCUGGACCAAUACUGACGCUGAGGUACGAAAGCGUGGGUAGCAAACAGGAUUAGAUACCCUGGUAGUCCACGCCGUAAACGAUGAUAACUAGCCGUUGGGGGGAUUUACCCCUUAGUGGCGAAGCUAACGCGUUAAGUUAUCCGCCUGGGGAGUACGGCCGCAAGGCUAAAACUCAAAGGAAUUGACGGGGACCCGCACAAGCGGUGGAGCAUGUGGUUUAAUUCGAUGCAACGCGAAGAACCUUACCUGGUCUUGACAUCCUGCGAACUUUCUAGAAAUAGAUUGGUGCCUUCGGGAACGCAGUGACAGGUGCUGCAUGGCUGUCGUCAGCUCGUGUCGUAAGAUGUUGGGUUAAGUCCCGUAACGAGCGCAACCCCUAUCCUUAUUUGCCAGCACAUUAUGGUGGGAACUAUAAGGAGACUGCCGGUGAUAAACCGGAGGAAGGCGGGGACGACGUCAAGUCAUCAUGGCCCUUACGACCAGGGCUACACACGUGCUACAAUGGGAAGUACAAAGAGUCGCGAAGCCGCGAGGUGUAGCUAAUCUCACAAAUCUUCUCGUAGUCCGGAUUGGAGUCUGCAACUCGACUCCAUGAAGUCGGAAUCGCUAGUAAUCGUAGAUCAGAAUGCUACGGUGAAUACGUUCCCGGGUCUUGUACACACCGCCCGUCAUACCAUGGGAGUGGGUUGCACCAGAAGUGGCUAGUCUAACU